RNAcentral lists this ribosomal RNA (253 nucleotides) under uncultured bacterium. RNAcentral describes it as "partial 16S ribosomal RNA". It matches the Rfam family "Bacterial small subunit ribosomal RNA", at positions 524 to 776 of the family's 1533-position model. The record is from RNAcentral.
GACGGAGGGUGCAAGUGUUAUCCGGAAUCACUGGGCGUAAAGCGUCUGUAGGUGGUCAAAUAAGUCAACUGUUAAAUCUUGAGGCUCAACCUCAAAAUCGCAGUCGAAACUAUUAGACUAGAGUAUAGUAGGGGUAAAGGGAAUUUCCAGUGGAGCGGUGAAAUGCGUAGAGAUUGGAAAGAACACCGAUGGCGAAGGCACUUUACUGGGCUAUUACUAACACUCAGAGACGAAAGCUAGGGUAGCAAAUGGG